AAGAUGUUCAGAACGAGGUUGUCGCUGGCCUUCCGGGGCAUGUGCACACCUCUUCUCAUCCCCCACUUCACACCUGUGCACCUUCGGUAGUUCUGUUGAAGAUAGAAGAGCCGCAAGGCUUCUCUGCCGGAUCGGUCCUACGUUUUCACACACUCUAUAAAGUUCAGAAUGUAUACCGCGUCUAACGCACAUAAUA
RNAcentral lists this unclassified non-coding RNA (196 nucleotides) under uncultured fungus. RNAcentral describes it as "sequence contains ITS1, 5.8S rRNA gene". The record is from RNAcentral. Lineage: Eukaryota; Fungi.